GGAGAGAUCGCAUAGUUGGCCUAGUGCGCGCGCCUGGAAAGCGCGUAGAGUGUAAAAACUCUCGAGGGUUCGAAUCCCUCUCUCUCCG
Molecule: non-coding RNA, 88 nt
Organism: Potamilus streckersoni
Lineage: Eukaryota; Metazoa; Mollusca; Bivalvia; Unionida; Unionidae
Source: the annotation of a GenBank genome assembly